GGNAAUCGGCCUUAGUGAUCCGACAGUGCCGAGUGGAAGGGCUGUCACUCAAUGGAUAAAAGUUACUCUAGGGAUAACGAUAACAGGCUGAUCCUUUCAAGAGCUCACAUCUAGAAAGCACACGAAAGAUAUGCAAAUGGUUGACAGGUUUUAUCCCCUGACAGAAAAUUGCUGAUUUUUUCUUUUAAUGAGAUAACCUUAAAGGUAUUUUUCCUGGAAGGUCAAUUACCUCCAUGUACGCAUUAGGAUGAGACACAGCAGAGGAUGCACUAAAAAAAUGUAUAUCUGAAAAGAGUGCGUGUAUGUCUUUUGGCAUUUUGCAUUUGAAUGUCCUUCAACUGAUCAUAUGUUAAAUAUGUUAUUUGUUGUUUUUUGCAUUUUUAUAUUAGUACCCAAAUAUAACGAAGAAUAAAUAUUUUUCCAUUUCGAUGAAAUGAAACUAAUCUUUAUUGUGUCCACUAUUGCAGCCCCCUUGGAAAGUCAGUCAUGCUCCGAGUAACUCCAAUCCUUUAUGCGAAAUGCCAAGGCAGAUUCAAGGUUAUUAUUCCAUGGUACAGAAUUAUGGGACGAACUAUUUGUGGAACGGUGGCGGUUCAGCAUCUUGGAGGAGGCAGCAAGAUAAUGUCAGAAUACAUAAGCAGCCAAUUAGUCGGCCAUGGGUUCUCAAUGCCAGAAGCAGCUGAAGAUAUCCAAAGGUCUAAAUCAAACUGUCCAGACUGAAACAUUGUCAUUUGAUCAGACUUCCACUUUUGGCUAGUUAGUUUCAAGGGAUUCUUAAAAAUGGGACACCAGGUUUAGGACGAAUUCAGGAUUCUGAAUGAAAUACGAGUUACAUGCAAACGAUUUGCAUGGGAUGAGAUAAAGUAAUCACGAGGAGAAUUCUCAUCUGUCAGUGCAAUGGAUGCUUCAAGUCAAGUCUGCAUACUGUGAUACUUCUAUUGCAAUGAGAUGCGGCGGUCGACGGCGGCGCCGCUGCUUUGGCCGGAGGCUGCAGCCUUAUGUUUACAACUUCAAAGGUAGGCUGACUCUGCUGGGAACUGUCCCAUUUUCCAAAGCAGAGAAAAGCUUUUGCUGUUGGAUUAUUGUCUGUCUUUCUAAUGAUUGUGAUUUCCCCCUUUAAUCUUAGUGUAUUAUAUUACAUGUGGUGAUGACUAAUUUGAUUGAUAGAAAUAUAUUUCGAAGAAAAAUGCAAAUUA
Molecule: non-coding RNA, 1196 nt
Organism: Cucurbita pepo subsp. pepo (vegetable marrow)
Lineage: Eukaryota; Viridiplantae; Streptophyta; Magnoliopsida; Cucurbitales; Cucurbitaceae
Source: RefSeq, a predicted model, not a curated record